Molecule: ribosomal RNA, 323 nt
Filed under: uncultured eukaryote
Lineage: Eukaryota
Description: partial 18S ribosomal RNA
Rfam family: Eukaryotic small subunit ribosomal RNA
Source: RNAcentral
CCCUUAGAUGUUCUGGGCCGCACGCGCGCUACACUGAUACAUGCAACGAGUUUAUAACCUUGUUCUGACGGUCUGGGUAAUCUUCAAACUGUAUCGUGUUAGGGAUCGAUUCUUGCAAUUUUUAAUCGUAAACGAGGAAUUCCUAGUAAACGCAAGUCAUCAGCUUGCAUUGAUUACGUCCCUGCCCUUUGUACACACCGCCCGUCGACUCUACCGAUUGAAUGGUUCGGUGAAAACUUUGGACUGUGGCAUUGUCCUUCAUUGGACUUCGCCGUAGGAAAUUGUUUAAACCUCAUCAUUUAGAGGAAGAAUAAGUCGUAACA